This 493-nucleotide ribosomal RNA is filed under the name uncultured bacterium. RNAcentral's name for it is "partial 16S ribosomal RNA". It matches the Rfam family "Bacterial small subunit ribosomal RNA", at positions 28 to 507 of the family's 1533-position model. The record is from RNAcentral.
GACGAACGCUGGCGGCGUGCUUAACACAUGCAAGUCGAACGGUGAAGCACCUUCCUUUUGGUGGGUGUGGAUGAGUGGCGAACGGGUGAGUAACACGUGAGUAACCUGCCCCCUUCUUCUGGAUAACCGCAUGAAAGUGUGGCUAAUACGGGAUAUUCUGGGUCUGUCGCAUGGCGGGCCUGGGAAAGAUAUUGUUUCGGUGGGGGAUGGGCUCGCGGUCUAUCAGCUUGUUGGUGGGGUGAUGGCCUACCAAGGCGGUGACGGGUAGCCGGCCUGAGAGGGUGGACGGUCACACUGGGACUGAGACACGGCCCAGACUCCUACGGGAGGCAGCAGUGGGGAAUAGUGCACAAUGGGCGCAAGCCUGAUGCAGCGACGCCGCGUGAGGGAUGGAGGCCUGCGGGUUGUAAACCUCUUUCGCCAGUGAAGCAGGCCUGUCCCUUGUGUGGGUGGGUUGACGGUAGCUGGAUAAGAAGCGCCGGCUAACUACGUG